Molecule: ribosomal RNA, 302 nt
Filed under: Staphylococcus aureus
Lineage: Bacteria; Bacillati; Bacillota; Bacilli; Caryophanales; Staphylococcaceae
Description: partial 16S ribosomal RNA
Rfam family: Bacterial small subunit ribosomal RNA
Source: RNAcentral
UUUUAUGGAGAGUUUGAUCCUGGCUCAGGAUGAACGCUGGCGGCGUGCCUAAUACAUGCAAGUCGAGCGAACGGACGAGAAGCUUGCUUCUCUGAUGUUAGCGGCGGACGGGUGAGUAACACGUGGAUAACCUACCUAUAAGACUGGGAUAACUUCGGGAAACCGGAGCUAAUACCGGAUAAUAUUUUGAACCGCAUGGUUCAAAAGUGAAAGACGGUCUUGCUGUCACUUAUAGAUGGAUCCGCGCUGCAUUAGCUAGUUGGUAAGGUAACGGCUUACCAAGGCAACGAUGCAUAGCCGAC